UUAUGCCUCGGGAGGCAGCAGUGGGGAAUAUUGCACAAUGGGGGAAACCCUGAUGCAGCGACGCCGCGUGAGCGAAGAAGUAUUUCGGUAUGUAAAGCUCUAUCAGCAGGGAAGAUAAUGACGGUACCUGACUAAGAAGCCCCGGCUAACUACGUGCCAGCAGCCGCGGUAAUACGUAGGGGGCAAGCGUUAUCCGGAUUUACUGGGUGUAAAGGGUGCGUAGGUGGCAGGGCAAGUCAGAUGUGAAAGCCCGGGGCUCAACCCCGGUACUGCACUUGAAACUGUCCAGCUGGAGUGCAGGAGAG
This 305-nucleotide ribosomal RNA is filed under the name uncultured bacterium. Its description in RNAcentral is "bacterial SSU rRNA". It matches the Rfam family "Bacterial small subunit ribosomal RNA", at positions 333 to 656 of the family's 1533-position model. The record is from RNAcentral.